RNAcentral lists this ribosomal RNA (253 nucleotides) under uncultured bacterium. RNAcentral's name for it is "partial 16S ribosomal RNA". It matches the Rfam family "Bacterial small subunit ribosomal RNA", at positions 524 to 776 of the family's 1533-position model. The record is from RNAcentral.
GACGGAGGAUGCAAGCGUUAUCCGGAAUUAUUGGGCGUAAAGCGUCCGCAGGUGGCUGUUCAAGUCUGCUGUCAAAGCGCAGAGCUUAACUCUGUACAGGCGGUGGAAACUGAAGAGCUAGAGUAUGGUAGGGGUAGAGGGAAUUCCCGGUGUAGCGGUGAAAUGCGUAGAUAUCAGGAAGAACACCCGUGGCGAAGGCGGCUUUCUGGGACGGUACUGACGCUGAGACGCGAAAGCGUGGGGAGCGAACAGG